RNAcentral lists this ribosomal RNA (253 nucleotides) under uncultured bacterium. RNAcentral describes it as "partial 16S ribosomal RNA". It matches the Rfam family "Bacterial small subunit ribosomal RNA", at positions 524 to 776 of the family's 1533-position model. The record is from RNAcentral.
GACAGAGGGUGCAAACGUUGCUCGGAAUCACUGGGCGUAAAGGGCGUGUAGGCGGGAAGGAAAGUCAGAUGUGAAAUCCCUGGGCUCAGCCCAGGAACUGCAUUUGAAACUCCCUUUCUUGAGUGUCGGAGAGGAAAGCGGAAUUCCUGGUGUAGAGGUGAAAUUCGUAGAUAUCAGGAGGAACACCGGUGGCGAAGGCGGCGUUCUGGACUGUAACUGACACUGAUGAACGAAAGCCAGGGGAGCAAACGGG